RNAcentral lists this non-coding RNA (251 nucleotides) under Fructobacillus fructosus. RNAcentral describes it as "T-box sequence". It matches the Rfam family "T-box leader". From Rfam's summary of the family: Uncharged tRNA acts as the effector for transcription antitermination of genes in the T-box leader family. T-boxes are found upstream of many aminoacyl-tRNA synthetase genes and some amino acid biosynthetic genes usually in Gram-positive bacteria. Lineage: Bacteria; Bacillati; Bacillota; Bacilli; Lactobacillales; Lactobacillaceae. The record is from RNAcentral.
UCAGAUACGUUGAUGAGAUAAGUAAUUUUCAGCGGCAUGCAUUAGAGAGCGGAUAUUUUGGUGAAAGUCCGACAUGCUUAGAAGACGAAAAUGGUCUCGGAGUUCAAUAAGUUGGUGAGUUGUCCGCAAUUAGCCAACUUCGGGUGCGCCCGUUACCGCGUUAGAGUAUCUCUUUAUUGACGUACUUGUUAAGUGUCUACCAGUGAUGUUAGACAAAACCAGGGUGGUAACGCGAUCCAAUCGUCCCGUAG